This is a non-coding RNA of Rattus norvegicus (Norway rat), 4013 nucleotides long. The record is from RefSeq and is a predicted model, not a curated record. Lineage: Eukaryota; Metazoa; Chordata; Mammalia; Rodentia; Muridae.
AGGAGGGGCUUGGGGCAUUGAUCUAUGUAACUUGAUCUGUCUCAAAUUUCUCUACAUGGGUUUGUCAGGGGCGGCAGUCAAUUAGACCCUGAUCUGGGAGGCUGGGAUUGCUCCUGCUGUUCCUAUUAGGGUUUCCAAGGAUUUGACCUGUCUGGACCAGGAAUCAGGAUAAGUAUAGUUUGCACUCAUCGUGAAAAUAUUCUCUUUGCAUCAGAUGGAGACCACUACAUAAAACCAAGCUAAUUAAGAUGUAGAGUUGUAUCACUCUCUUAAAGCAGAAGCAUCUACAAUGCCCAAACCCCAUGACCUAAGGUUCAGGUAACAUUCAAAAGGAGGGGUGAAUGAUAAUAAAACUAAAAGAUCAUGGGAUUUUCUGAAAGAUUGUUUCCUCAUAAUGUCAGAAUUAAGAGAAUUUAAACAUCAGCUCCUGGAGAAUAAUCAAGAAUAACUAUAUUUAACUUUGGGAUCUGUAUGGGAGAAUGUACUAGUGAUUACAAAAGAAGUACCAUUACUAGCACUGACUAUAUUUUACCUUAUUUUGUAUCAUGUUAUGUGGGGGAGAUACAUCAUCUCUAUAUUAUAGAGAAAAUCUAUAAAAAUGUCAUUAUAUACAUAUAUAGGAGUAGGUUUUAUGAUACUUUCCAAAGUCUUUGGUUUUAGUUAUCCUUCCCCAAUCACAGCCCUUGAACCAUUCAAUUCCUUCUCAUUCAAUUUUUCUUUUGUCUUCUGUGUGUUCUAGUUUAGUAACUUGAUUAGGUAUCAAAUAUUCCUCAUUGAACAAAUGAAGUGUGCCAAUGUAGUGUGUCAAUACCCAUUUAGUGCUUCAGUAUCAUUACAAUAAAAUUGAAGCAAUUAGAUAUAUUUUUAAAAGCUUUAAGUAUAGAGGACACCAUGAUGUCAGGAUGUGAAUGUUACUGUAAAUAUAUAUAUAUAUAUAUAUAUAUAUAUAUAUGUAAAGAUGUAUAUAUAUAUAUUAUGUGUGUAUGUGUGUGUGUAUGUGUGUGUGUGUGUGUGUGUGCGUGUGUGUGUGAUGAAAAGAAAGAAAGUAUAGUGAUGACAAGUACACAGUGUGAUAAGAAGAGCAUAACAGAAUUUCUCAGUUUUCAGAAUGUUUUUGUUUUGAUCUGGGAGGAAGAAAGUUUAUCAUCUUUGUACUCCAGCAAGGUAGAUAGGCAGGAAAAAUGACUAUGUCAUAUAUAACCAGUCCAUAUUUUAUUGUGUCAUAGUGAUUAGAUUAAAACACUUUAAAAUAUUCUUAAACAAUAAUGUCUUCUGUCCUCAUUGUGCAAUCUAUAAAGACCUUUUCAAUUAGCUAUUUAUUCUGCCUUGUAGUCAUUGAUGUUGCUUAUUUCCCUGUUUUAGAUUAUUCAGAUAUCAGGCAUCUAUGUAUACAUGUGAAGGAGCCAAGCAUUCAGAUUUAUAGAUUUCAUAGAUAAUCCUACUCACAUUUUUGACCAUAGCACUGCUUUUGUCAAACUGGUAGGUCAGGGUAUUUUCCAAAAAUCUAUUGGAACAGAAAUUGAUUGGAAGGAAGUAGGAUUGUUGCUGAAAUCAACCUCAUCUUUUCACUUUCCUUUUCAUUUUCCUUUCCUUUUUCCUCUUCUUCCUCUUUCUCCUCCUCUUCUUCCUCAUUCUCCUCCUCCUCCUCCUCUUCUUCUUUUCAAAUGUUUAAAAGCCAAUUAAUUUAUGUAGCAGUGAAUAAACUUGUUGGGGCACCAGUGGAAGGGGAAGCCCUUGGUCCUGCCAAGGUUGGAUCCCCCCAGUGUAGGGGAUUGUUGGGCGGGCAGUAAUGGAGAUGGAUGGGGAGGAGGAAACCCAUAUGGAAGGGGAGAGAGGGGUUAGGGGGCUAAUGGACAAGAAACUGGGAAGUGUAAACAAGAAAUACCCAAUUUUAAUAAAAAUGGAAGAAAAAAGGAAAUGUAAAUAAAAAUAUCCAAUAAUAAAAGAUAAAAACUUUUAAUUCAUAAAAAAAGCCAAUGAACUUUCCCAAUGGGAAAUUGAAUAUGCUAUGCCAGUGGGAGCAAGGAAGACAGUCAUUCUUCCAUAGUCAUUCGGGGCUUAGGUCACAAGGAUUCAGGAGAAAACAGGAACCUAAUGUUAUUAUUCUCUCUCUAAUCAUGGCUAGGAUGAGCUGCUUAUGCUCAUGCUUUGGCUUUCCUGAAAUACAGAUUGAUAUCUGGAAAGUAUUUUCUUCUCCAGAUUGCUUUUUGUUGGCAUAAUUUAUAUUAGCCACAGAAAUGGCAAGAGAUCUGGGGGGAUAGAUCCUACUUGGUAAUGGAUAAGUAUGAACUGUGCAAUUCACUAGUGCCACCACAGCUCAUCCUUUAAGACUUUCUAAUUCCUAUUUUCUUCCACUUUAAUAAUUGAUAUGUUGGUUUUAUUAGUUAAUUUGUUUUUUUAACCAUGAUAAUCAUAGCCAGUAGGUGAAUAACUGAAUUCCUAAAUUUUUUCCCAGAUUUGUGUUUAGUGUUUAUUAAGAACUUUUUUUUUUUGGCUGGGCUAGGUGUAUGGUUUUGAAACAUAAACAAACAAACAAACAAACAAAAACCUUCUGAUUCACACUGAAUAUUUACAAUCAACAAUUCAUAUCUACAUUAGGAUUCUAAUUAGGUUUUGAGGAGCUUAAGUUGGACACACCAUCUUAGUACACAUGCCAAACUGGAUGGGGAAAUACAGAGAGGCCUCAAACCUACAUUUCAAAAAUGGAACACAAGAAACCUUCCAAUGGGAGAGUUGAUCUUCUCUAUGGAAGAGCACAUCACUGUUUGUCCAGUGCUAAACAUUAAGCUUGUGGAAGCACGUAGGCUGUAAGAGUACAGGAGCUGAGCAGGAUGUAAUUGUUACUGCAUUCAAUAACUUAAAAAAAUGAUAAAAUGCAUUUGAGGGAUACCUGUUGAGGGACAGCAGUUGGGUAACUCAGUAGGACUUUGAGGAAAAGAGAGGGGGAAGUAUUUUAAUUAUAAUCAUAAAUUAGAAGGAGAGAGAAAGAGAGAGAGAGAGAGAGAGAGAGAGAGAGAGAGAGAGAGAGAGUGAGAGAGAGAGAUGUUUUUUUUGUUUGUUUUGGAUGUCAUGAAAAUGGUACACAGUGAAAUCAAAUGGGAACAGUGGUCAUGUGAUCUUUCUGUCUUCGACAGGUUUAAAUAUAAAAGCUGAUGCACAUUCAUUCUUUUAGAAAAUAUAGUCAUGGAAUUUACUAAAUGUAAGUUAUUUUUAUACUUUAUUCACUAUACAAAACUCUUUUCCAAUGAUUUGGUAAUUUGUCUACUCAUGCCAACUAUAAAAUCAGCACCUGGAUUCUGUCAUUUGGACUUCUAAUUGUUUUGUUGUGAUUUUUCUCAUUUGUCUUUAUUAAUGUGUCUAUGUAAACAGAAGCUAAAGUAAACUUGGUAACUAUUAACUUCUAGAUCAUUUCCCAAUGUGCCAUCUUCUACAUUAUUAUUUUCCUUAAUUCAUUGUAGCUAAGUCAUUAUCUAGUUAAAUUUUGACUAGGUAUUAUUCAUUUCGGAAAUUUUUGCUUUAUUGUGCAAAGGAAGCAUUUUCUCACCUUUGGCACUUUACAAUAAACUCAUUUUGAUGUAAAUUGAUUGCAGUGGGAUUAUGUUAGAGUCAUUAAAAUAUUGCUGUAUUGACAUUCACUAAUGUUUUUAAUUAGCAUUUUCAAAUUCUAAUGUUUGGCAUCAAGUAUAAACAGAUAUGAUUUAUUAUGCAUCUAUAACAUUUUGUUUGGUUUUGUUUGUAUAUCCGUUGAGUAUAUCAAAUAAUUUUUAUAUGCUGUGUGCUAGAAUCAAACCAUCAAUUCUCAUAACAAUUUCUGAUGAUGCUGUUACCUUCAUAAUGAAGUUAUUGUGGAAACUGUGAGCUUCUGAAAACAGAUUCAGUUGACAGUCAUGAUUUGAUUUUGUUACAUUCAGAUAAUUACUGUCUUUUCUGUUACAAACUUAAAGACAUAAUAAGCAUGAUUAUUAUGUAUCAUUUUUUUUCAGAAAAUAGACACUUUCUUUGUGGACUGAAAA